AACAGACAGAUGUCCAGGAAGAGAAA
This 26-nucleotide small nuclear RNA is filed under the name Arabidopsis thaliana (thale cress). RNAcentral describes it as "snRNA_01625". The record is from RNAcentral. Lineage: Eukaryota; Viridiplantae; Streptophyta; Magnoliopsida; Brassicales; Brassicaceae.